ACUUUCAGAACCGUAGCCGUCACCUUCCUCAGUGCACCAAGAAUUCGUUCUGCUAGAGUUAGGUUCUUACUGUUGUUGAGCUAGUUCGAAGUUGCCUCCUACUCCAGUUCUCCCGUUCGUUCCUUGAAGCUGUUGUGCUCGUGCGUUCGGUAGCGAGGGCGUGUUGGGUCGUGUUGCUAGCUUAUUCCAGAUGGGCGAAGUUCUCGUGGUCAACAAGGGAAUGGUGAUUCCACCGUUUAGCCGUCUGGGCUGGAUCUUACACUUCUCUUCUUCAUGUCUUCUUUAGGGCUAUGGCCCCUGUACUCGUUGUCUUUGGAUUGUAAACUCUUAGUUAAACUGUUAUCCUGUUUUUGUUGGCAUCGUGGUGUGCCUGGUUUUGUAGGGGUGAUGUUAUGAACCCCCGGACUGCAUUGUUGAUUAUCUCUGUGUGACGUUUCCUUUAAUUUUAUGUAUUAAAUUAAAUGGGGUGUUACAUAUA
Molecule: long non-coding RNA, 478 nt
Organism: Vigna unguiculata (cowpea)
Lineage: Eukaryota; Viridiplantae; Streptophyta; Magnoliopsida; Fabales; Fabaceae
Source: RefSeq, a predicted model, not a curated record